RNAcentral lists this ribosomal RNA (627 nucleotides) under uncultured fungus. Its description in RNAcentral is "LSU rRNA". It matches the Rfam family "Eukaryotic large subunit ribosomal RNA", at positions 23 to 664 of the family's 3401-position model. The record is from RNAcentral. Lineage: Eukaryota; Fungi.
ACCCGCUGAACUUAAGCAUAUCAAUAAGCGGAGGAAAAGAAACCAACAGGGAUUGCCUCAGUAACGGCGAGUGAAGCGGCAAGAGCUCAAAUUUGAAAUCUGGCACCUUCGGUGUUCGAGUUGUAAUUUGAAGAGGAGUCUUCGGUUUGGGUCGUGGCCUAUGUUCCUUGGAACAGGACGUCGUAGAGGGUGAGAAUCCCGUACACGGCUGACGAUCUCUUACCAUGUGAAGUUCCUUCGAAGAGUCGAGUUGUUUGGGAAUGCAGCUCUAAAUGGGUGGUAAAUUUCAUCUAAAGCUAAAUACCGGCGAGAGACCGAUAGCGCACAAGUAGAGUGAUCGAAAGAUGAAAAGCACUUUGAAAAGAGAGUUAAACAGUACGUGAAAUUGUUGAAAGGGAAGCGCUUGCAAUCAGACUUGCCUUUGGUCGAUCAACGUUCCUUCUGGUUCGUGCACUCGGCCUUUGGCAGGCCAGCAUCGGUUCGGACGGUGGGAUAAAGGCUUUGGGAAUGUGGCUCUCUUCGGGGAGUGUUAUAGCCCAAGGUGCAAUGCCGCCUGACUGGACCGAGGACCGCGCUUCGGCUAGGAUGCUGGCGUAAUGGUUGUAAGCGACCCGUCUUGAAACACGG